AACGCCCGGAAACGGGUGCUAAUACUGGAUAUUCACUGAUCUUCGCAUGGGGGUUGGUGGAAAGGUUUUUUCUGGUGGGGGGAUGGGCUCGCGGCCUAUCAGCUUGUUGGUGGGGUGAUGGCCUACCAAGGCUUUGACGGGUAGCCGGCCUGAGAGGGUGACCGGUCACAUUGGGACUGAGAUACGGCCCAGACUCCUACGGGAGGCAGCAGUGGGGAAUAUUGCACAAUGGGCGAAAGCCUGAUGCAGCGACGCCGCGUGAGGGAUGGAGGCCUUCGGGUUGUAAACCUCUUUCGCUCAUGGUCAAGCCGCAACUUAGGGUUGUGGUGAGGGUAGUGGGUAAAGAAGCGCCGGCUAACUACGUGCCAGCAGCCGCGGUAAUACGUAGGGCGCGAGCGUUGUCCGGAAUUAUUGGGCGUAAAGGGCUUGUAGGCGGUUGGUCGCGUCUGCCGUGAAAUCCUCUGGCUUAACUGGGGGCGUGCGGUGGGUACGGGCUGACUUGAGUGCGGUAGGGGAGACUGGAACUCCUGGUGUAGCGGUGGAAUGCGCAGAUAUCAGGAAGAACACCGGUGGCGAAGGCGGGUCUCUGGGCCGUUACUGACGCUGAGGAGCGAAAGCGUGGGGAGCGAACAGGAUUAGAUACCCUGGUAGUCCACGCUGUAAACGUUGGGCACUAGGUGUGGGGGCCACCCGUGGUUUCUGCGCCGUAGCUAACGCUUUAAGUGCCCCGCCUGGGGAGUACGGCCGCAAGGCUAAAACUCAAAGGAAUUGACGGU
RNAcentral lists this ribosomal RNA (776 nucleotides) under uncultured bacterium. Its description in RNAcentral is "bacterial SSU rRNA". It matches the Rfam family "Bacterial small subunit ribosomal RNA", at positions 145 to 917 of the family's 1533-position model. The record is from RNAcentral.